UACAGAGGUCUCAAGCGUUGUUCGGAUUCAUUGGGCGUAAAGGGUGCGUAGGUGGCGCUGUAAGUCAGGUGUGAAAUUUCGGAGCUCAACUCCGAAACUGCAUUUGAUACUGCGGUGCUUGAGGACUGGAGAGGAGACUGGAAUUCACGGUGUAGCAGUGAAAUGCGUAAAUAUCGUGAGGAAGACCAGUGGCGAAGGCGGGUCUCUGGACAGUUCCUGACACUGAGGCACGAAGGCCAGGGGAGCAAACGGG
This 253-nucleotide ribosomal RNA is filed under the name uncultured bacterium. RNAcentral describes it as "partial 16S ribosomal RNA". It matches the Rfam family "Bacterial small subunit ribosomal RNA", at positions 524 to 776 of the family's 1533-position model. The record is from RNAcentral.